ACUCCUACGGGAGGCAGCAGUGGGGAAUAUUGCACAAUGGGGGAAACCCUGAUGCAGCCAUGCCGCGUGUGUGAAGAAGGCCUUCGGGUUGUAAAGCACUUUCAGUAGGGAGGAAGGUAGUGUAGUUAACACCUGCAUUAUUUGACGUUACCUACAGAAGAAGCACCGGCUAACUCCGUGCCAGCAGCCGCGGUAAUACGGAGGGUGCGAGCGUUAAUCGGAAUUACUGGGCGUAAAGCGCAUGCAGGCGGCCUGUUAAGUCAGAUGUGAAAGCCCGGGGCUUAACCUCGGAAUUGCAUUUGAAACUGGCAGGCUAGAGUCUUGUAGAGGGGGGUAGAAUUUCAGGUGUAGCGGUGAAAUGCGUAGAGAUCUAGAAGGAAUACCAGUGGCGAAGGCGGCCCCCUGGACAAAGACUGACGCUCAGAUGCGAAAGCGUGGGGAAGCAAACAGGAUUAGAUACCCUGGUAGCACAGAG
This 475-nucleotide ribosomal RNA is filed under the name uncultured bacterium. Its description in RNAcentral is "bacterial SSU rRNA". It matches the Rfam family "Bacterial small subunit ribosomal RNA", at positions 335 to 799 of the family's 1533-position model. The record is from RNAcentral.